RNAcentral lists this transfer RNA (72 nucleotides) under Ovis aries (sheep). It matches the Rfam family "tRNA". From Rfam's summary of the family: Transfer RNA (tRNA) molecules are approximately 80 nucleotides in length. Their secondary structure includes four short double-helical elements and three loops (D, anti-codon, and T loops). The record is from Rfam by way of RNAcentral. Lineage: Eukaryota; Metazoa; Chordata; Mammalia; Artiodactyla; Bovidae.
UCCCUGGUGGCUCAGAUGGUAAAGAAUCUGCCUGCAAUGCAGGAGAUCCAGGUUCUAUCCCUGGCGAGGGAA